UGGGGAAUAUUGGACAAUGGGCGAAAGCCUGAUCCAGCCAUGCCGCGUGUGUGAAGAAGGCCUUCGGGUUGUAAAGCACUUUAAGCGAGGAGGAAUGGCUCUGGGUUAAUACCCUUGAGCAGUGACGUUACUCGCAGAAUAAGCACCGGCUAACUCUGUGCCAGCAGCCGCGGUAAUACAGAGGGUGCAAGCGUUAAUCGGAAUUACUGGGCGUAAAGCGCGCGUAGGCGGUUACGUAAGUUGGAUGUGAAAUCCCCGGGCUCAACCUGGGAAUUGCAUUCAAAACUGCGUGGCUAGAGUGUGGGAGAGGAAGGUAGAAUUCCAGGUGUAGCGGUGAAAUGCGUAGAUAUCUGGAAGAACACCAGUGGCGAAGGCGGCUCACUGGAUCGGUACUGACGCUGAGGUGCGAAAGCGUGGGGAGCAAACAGGAUUAGAUACCCCCGUAGUCCCUGAGCGGGCUGGCAAGGCG
RNAcentral lists this ribosomal RNA (469 nucleotides) under uncultured bacterium. Its description in RNAcentral is "bacterial SSU rRNA". It matches the Rfam family "Bacterial small subunit ribosomal RNA", at positions 355 to 822 of the family's 1533-position model. The record is from RNAcentral.